This is a long non-coding RNA of Saccostrea cuccullata (small rock oyster), 163 nucleotides long. RefSeq lists it as uncharacterized. NCBI's taxonomy places the organism in Eukaryota, Metazoa, Mollusca, Bivalvia, Ostreida, Ostreidae. The transcript is spliced from 3 exons. The record is from RefSeq and is a predicted model, not a curated record.
CACGGAUGACGGUUUUGUAGGGCAGCCGACGAGAGGAUUGAGCUGUUCUUCAGAGAUGGACGACCUGGAUAGGACGAUCCUGAUUGACAUCAUGUGGAGGGAUGCACUUGGUAUUGCUUCGAGGAGGAGGAGCCCUUCUGAGGAGGACCAGCUUUUUGAGGAA